CCUACGGGUUGCAGCAGUGGGGAAUAUUGCACAAUGGGCGCAAGCCUGAUGCAGCCAUGCCGCGUGUAUGAAGAAGGCCUCCGGGUUGUAAAGUACUUUCAGCGGGGAGGAAGGCGAUAAGGUUAAUAACCUUGUCGAUUGACGUUACCCGCAGAAGAAGCACCGGCUAACUCCGUGCCAGCAGCCGCGGUAAUACGGAGGGUGCAAGCGUUAAUCGGAAUUACUGGGCGUAAAGCGCACGCAGGCGGUCCGUCAAGUCGGAUGUGAAAUCCCCGGACUCCACCUGGGAACUGCAUUCGAAACUGGCAGGCUAGAGUCUUGUAGAGGGGGGUAGAAUUCCAGGUGUAGCGGUGAAAUGCGUAGAGAUCUGGAGGAAUACCGGUGGCGAAGGCGGCCCCCUGGACAAAGACUGACGCUCAGGUGCGAAAGCGUGGGGAGCAAACAGGAUUAGAUACCCUCGUAGUC
Molecule: ribosomal RNA, 465 nt
Filed under: uncultured bacterium
Lineage: Bacteria
Description: bacterial SSU rRNA
Rfam family: Bacterial small subunit ribosomal RNA
Source: RNAcentral